This 484-nucleotide ribosomal RNA is filed under the name uncultured bacterium. RNAcentral's name for it is "partial 16S ribosomal RNA". It matches the Rfam family "Bacterial small subunit ribosomal RNA", at positions 28 to 523 of the family's 1533-position model. The record is from RNAcentral.
GACGAACGCUGGCGGCGUGCUUAACACAUGCAAGUCGAACGAUGAAGCCGGAGCUUGCUCUGGUGAAUUAGUGGCGAACGGGUGAGUAACACGUGAGUAACCUGCCCUUGACUCUGGGAUAACUGCGGGAAGCUGUAGCUAAUACCGGAUACGACCCUCGGAGGCAUCUCCUGGGGGUGGAAAGAAUUUCGGUCAAGGAUGGACUCGCGGCCUAUCAGCUAGUUGGUGAGGUAAAGGCUCACCAAGGCGACGACGGGUAGCCGGCCUGAGAGGGUGACCGGCCACACGGGGACUGAGACACGGCCCAGACUCCUACGGGAGGCAGCAGUGGGGAAUAUUGCACAAUGGGCGCAAGCCUGAUGCAGCAACGCCGCGUGAGGGAUGACGGCCUUCGGGUUGUAAACCUCUUUUAGCAGGGAAGAAGCGAAAGUGACGGUACCUGCAGAAAAAGCACCGGCUAACUACGUGCCAGCCGCCGCAGUAA